UAAGGAAUAUUGGUCAAUGGACGAAAGUCUGAACCAGCCAUGCCGCGUGAAGGAUGAAGGUCCUCUGGAUUGUAAACUUCUUUUAUCUGGGACGAAAAAAGGCUAUUCUUAGCCACUUGACGGUACCAGAGGAAUAAGCACCGGCUAACUCCGUGCCAGCAGCCGCGGUAAUACGGAGGGUGCAAGCGUUAUCCGGAUUCACUGGGUUUAAAGGGUGCGUAGGUGGAUUGGUAAGUCCGUGGUGAAAUCUCCAAGCUUAACUUGGAAACUGCCGUGGAUACUAUCAGUCUUGAAUCCCCUGGAGGUAAGCGGAAUAUGUCAUGUAGCGGUGAAAUGCUUAGAUAUGACAUAGAACACCGAUUGCGAAGGCAGCUUACUGGACCUGUAUUGACGCUGAGGCACGAAAGCGUGGGGAGCGAACAG
Molecule: ribosomal RNA, 423 nt
Filed under: uncultured organism
Description: bacterial SSU rRNA
Rfam family: Bacterial small subunit ribosomal RNA
Source: RNAcentral